This 497-nucleotide ribosomal RNA is filed under the name uncultured bacterium. Its description in RNAcentral is "bacterial SSU rRNA". It matches the Rfam family "Bacterial small subunit ribosomal RNA", at positions 501 to 1000 of the family's 1533-position model. The record is from RNAcentral.
CUACGUGCCAGCAGCCGCGGUAAUACGUAGGGGGCAAGCGUUAUCCGGAUUCAUUGGGCGUAAAGCGCUCGUAGGCGGUCUGUUAGGUCGGGAGUUAAAUCCGGGGGCUCAACCCCCGCUCGCUCCCGAUACCGGCAGACUUGAGUUUGGUAGGGGAAGGUGGAAUUCCUAGUGUAGCGGUGGAAUGCGCAGAUAUUAGGAAGAACACCAGUGGCGAAGGCGGCCUUCUGGGCCAUAACUGACGCUGAGGAGCGAAAGCUAGGGGAGCAAACAGGAUUAGAUACCCUGGUAGUCCACGCUGUAAACGAUGUCGAUUUGGGGGUUGAGCUUUAAGCUUGGCGCCCGUAGCUAACGUGAUAAAUCGACCGCCUGGGGAGUACGGCCGCAAGGUUAAAACUCAAAUGAAUUGACGGGGGCCCGCACAAGCGGUGGAGCAUGUGGUUUAAUUCGAUGCAACGCGAAGAACCUUACCUACUCUUGACAUCCAGAGAACAUUC